CUUCCCUUUUCCCAUUGGCCAGAGCUAGGUCACAUGACAAACCCUGGGUCCCUCACUGGGAGGGGCCAAACUGCGGUAGCCCAAUGGCGCUGCAAAGGGCUCACUUUUCUCGAGAAGUGGGGACAAGGGCCAUUUACACGAAGCCAGCGUCCUGGUCGCACAGAAGAAAGAGGGCAAAGGGCACGGUGUCAGCCCGAGUCACAAAGACGCCUUGCACCUCUGGGUAGACGCAGGAUCCUUUCUAGAACUCAAAUCUGAGCGCUCUUUGUUGACUUGAAUCCACUCCGGGAACGCAGGGUGUGUUUGUGAGUGACUUCCUACAUUUAGGAUUGAUUGUUUGACCUUCCCUUCCUCCUUUAAGUUUUGCUUGGUUGGUUUGGGGCAUUGCUAUGAAUGAUGUUCCCCGAUGGAAGUCCUUCCCUGAGGCCCCACCUGUGCCUCCAGGUAGGAGAAGGUCGAGGAGUAGGCUGGCGGCAGGAGAAUUUCCCAGGGCACCGUCACUGUCCAGCCAGCUCACAGCUGAACCCAAACAGAGGGAGCGCUCCCCAGGACGGUUAGACUGAAGUCCUGCCCAGCCUCGGAGAGAAGGGGCGAACGCCUGAACUGUUUUGCAGAAAUGCAUCCUGCAAUGCGGCUACUGUUCUACAGAGCCGGGGGGAGAGGAAGCAGAGCUUCAAGUAUCCAAAGGGAACAAUUUUGAAGGAGGAGUGGGGCUCCUUCCUGACCAUCAAGACUCAAGGAGAAUCAAAAGACUCAAUCAGAAGACUCAGCUUCUUCAUCUGGAAAAUGCAAAUGUUAUCGCACGCACAGCUGACUCAGCACCUAUCCCGAUUCCUUUCCAGGCUUCCUGCCUGUACUGUGGCAUCUGGAAAGCUGGAAACCCAGUUCCCUGGACUCCUCUGCAUCGGGGACCCACGAAUCCAUUGUGUUCACUCGGGACUCAGAGGUGGACAUGCGCUGUGGAAGAAGGUGGCCGCAGGCUGGGAGAGUGGCCUUUUUGAAAAGCACAGAGACAAUGUAUCUGGUCUUGGGUCUUCCGGGGGAAAUACAGGAUUUUUGCACAUUCAGUCUCAAACCCCAUGGGUGGCAAUUUGCAGCUGUGAGCAACAGAGGGCUUUCUGUAAACACAGUGGGCUGGAGCAUUUGGGGGUUCUGUUGACCCGAGGGUUGUCCAGUACUCUCCUGGGUCUGAGUAGCAUUCAAGCUUGGUUCUUUGGUCAUGUCCAAAAGUCCGUAAGGAACCCAAUAAAUAAACUUGAAGAGAUGCC
Molecule: long non-coding RNA, 1268 nt
Organism: Acinonyx jubatus (cheetah)
Lineage: Eukaryota; Metazoa; Chordata; Mammalia; Carnivora; Felidae
Exons: 2
Source: RefSeq, a predicted model, not a curated record